CGAACGCUGGCGGCGUGCCUAAUACAUGCAAGUCGAACGAAACUUUCUUACACCGAAUGCUUGCAUUCACCGUAAGAAGUUGAGUGGCGGACGGGUGAGUAACACGUGGGUAACCUGCCUAAAAGAAGGGGAUAACACUUGGAAACAGGUGCUAAUACCGUAUAUCUCUAAGGAUCGCAUGAUCCUUAGAUGAAAGAUGGUUCUGCUAUCGCUUUUAGAUGGACCCGCGGCGUAUUAACUAGUUGGUGGGGUAACGGCCUACCAAGGUGAUGAUACGUAGCCGAACUGAGAGGUUGAUCGGCCACAUUGGGACUGAGACACGGCCCAAACUCCUACGGGAGGCAGCAGUAGGGAAUCUUCCACAAUGGACGCAAGUCUGAUGGAGCAACGCCGCGUGAGUGAAGAAGGUCUUCGGAUCGUAAAACUCUGUUGUUAGAGAAGAACACGAGUGAGAGUAACUGUUCAUUCGAUGGCGGUAUCUAACCAGCAAGUCACGGCUAACUACGUGCC
This 510-nucleotide ribosomal RNA is filed under the name uncultured bacterium. RNAcentral's name for it is "bacterial SSU rRNA". It matches the Rfam family "Bacterial small subunit ribosomal RNA", at positions 30 to 509 of the family's 1533-position model. The record is from RNAcentral.